RNAcentral lists this long non-coding RNA (2475 nucleotides) under Toxoplasma gondii VEG. The record is from RNAcentral. Lineage: Eukaryota; Apicomplexa; Conoidasida; Eucoccidiorida; Sarcocystidae.
UGCUCAUCCGCGCUAAGAGGGGCUGCAGCAGCCACCGUUGAUACGCUCUCCGCCGUCGCCUUCAACACGUCUGUUGCAACAAACGCGUUGCUUCCAUCCACAUCCAGAGGGUAAGACGCGUGCUCAUGUGAUGUAUGCCUGCUCUCUGUUGAGCAUUCGUGUGCAUUUUCUGCCCCCUCGGAAACUGCACCAGCCGGGCGCGGAGGUGUCCGUCGUAAGCUCCUCUUGAGUUGGGGCAGCCGCGUGCCAGGGAGGACCUUGCUUCCAACUUUUUCUGCACCACCACUCGAGCCUUUUUGCGACAGUUUCACAGUGAACUGUAAGCUAACCUGCUCAACACAUUUGGGAGUUGCAUUUGUGUGCCGACGUGCACGUCCCCCAUAGCAUCCGUUCCGUUGCGGGGAGAGAGAGGGGGUAAACAGCGAGACAGUCGGGGGCACAGAGCCGCCGGCUCCGCUUCGGCUGCUUUUCGGCUUUGUAACCUUCACUAGAGAGCCAUCCGCCAUGGGGUUUCCGAAGGAUAUACGUUUCUUUUUUCCCUGUCAAGUGCUUGCCUGCUGCAACCAAUAUACACGGAUGGUUAGACAGGUAGAGCGCGUGCACCGGCGCCAACGCACGAGUGUGGCGCAGCACUCGACGUAUGGGCUCUUUGGUUCAUCUGAAGACGGGAGACGCACGGAGACCCCCGGGACAGUAGCAGACGGCGAAAGUUGGGCAUUCACUUUCUUGUAAGGGGACUAACUCAAUUACCGUUCCGGCUUAGCAGACGCAAACAAAUCAGCCGUCGAAGCUGAAAAACUUGUCACACUCUCGGCUUCCUGCGACGUGCACGGGCAAACGCCUACAGGGUUCCGGCCCACGUUGAGCAGAUUUGCCACGCCUCGGACGGUGGCGACGAAGUCGUGGCAACUUCGAAGUUGAGACGUCAAAGACAGCGUGUUCAGGCUGCACGUUCACUCGGAGGGAGCAAAAAGGUGUGACGAGAAUUUCAUGGAAAAACAGUUGAAGCAGAGCUCCGGAUUCCUCCGUAACGGGAACCUCAGAACAGCAGCGUUGCGGACGCCCCGCGCAACGUGUCUCCGCAUCGCCAGGGUCCUCUGCUUGUUUAGCGCGGUGAAUCCGCUUUGGGAGGGGAAGGGAGGCGGUCCGGGUGCCCGAUGCGUUUGCGCAACGUUGGAAAGCGCAACGAGGCCCCGAACUUGGUUGCUCCAGGCGAAAUAUACGUCAGAUGGAAGGGGAGUGCCGACUCGACCCUCAACGCAGACAGGCUUGCGACAGCAUUUUUUUUCAAACGGGCUGGAAACAGAUAUUUCCGUUUGGGAAAAACGCAUCGACUGAUAUCUUCGCCGUUCUCGGGGGGAAUCACACGAGCCCCCCUUCCCGCAUCGACCAAUAGACAACGCGCGCGGCGACACGCGACCUCUCUGACACGUCUCGAGCACGGACCCCACAGACGGGUUUGUCAGAACGAAAACUCCGAUUUGUUAAAGAUAUCCGUGAAUUCCUGUGUUUUGCCAAACAGCCAAGUAAACAGGGUAAAUGUGUUCCGGGUGAAAGAGGGCCGCUCGCGCUCCUCACAACCUUGUGGGAGUGUGUGCAGGAUGUAUCUCACGGAGCGGCUGGACCGCCGUUUGACUGCGGAACGGCUAACCUUCUGCAUGCGACUAAACAUGGCCCUCGCUUACUUGGUUAGUUGUGCUUCUGGUCGACCCCAACGGAUUCCCAGAAGUCCAGCACAGUAGAGGCCGCACCGGCCUCUGAACCUCUCUGUGACUGCAGAGGAGGUCAGUCUUUUGCAAAGAAGCCAAGUAUUCCAUGUAAAGGAGAAGAGAAAAAACAUCAUGAGCACAACCAACUCCCCCUUAGGGGUCCGCGCAACUUCUUAAUCCGAGCCCAUGCGGACACGGUCUGCACAGAUCUGUGUCUCUCCGAGUCUCGCAGACGAACGGAAGAAAUUCAAAAACGGGUGCCACAGUUUCUUGAUUUUCUCGUAGCUGAAUCCAGAAUCCGUCAGAGGUUUAUCUGCCAUCGACUGAGGGCAACUGUUCCGCAAGAAGACUGGUUUUGAGAUAUCUAACCAGUUUUGCAGUAACAUUUUGUUGACAGAAACGGGGGGGGAUGCACACAGCAGUGCUGUGACGAAUCAACGUUUUUUCGUGCCAAAGCAGCAAACUCGUGUUUCGAUCAUCACAAGGUUUGUCAGCAUAUUUUCGAAACGGAGAAAUCGGUUAUCACCACGUCGAAGUGUCCCUCAGCAUCCCGGUAAUACGAUAGUCUGCUGAGUCACUCGCUGGGUGUUAGUGCGUUCCAUUAGAGGCCGCCUUUAUCUAUGUUGAAUCCUCUAAAGUGAACAAGUCGUUCCACUGUUAUGGCAGACAAGUGCUUCUCACGCCCAUCCCUCUCCAUGCUACCCCAUUUUCAUGCGUACCGACUGAAUGUGUUAAUCAAGUGCGUACAACGGGGAGAGCCGAUUCC